AGCAUGUUCUAGAGCAUGAGAACAAAGAGAUGACUGAAAACAGUGUUUGUCCUCAUAAAGUCCCUAGUCCAGCAACAGAACUCAGUACCAGGUGGCCCGUGGCUGUCCGUCCCUCUCAGCCCAUUUGGAGGUGACUCUUGCUUCUCUCUUGAUGGAUCAGCUUUCACUGCCCACCCCCAGGGACAUGACCAAAGAGGUUCCUCCUCUCUACCCCUAAGCGGUGAGUCCAUAGGCUCCCUGGAGAGUUCAGUCAUCUCUUCUGGAGCAAGUCACCUAGCAGCAGUGAACCUCCAUUUCUUUAUCUCAAAAAUGGGAGUCAAUAAUCCCUGCCUUAUUGAUGUCACUGGAUUGUCAUAAAAAUGACAUCAUUAUGUAAAGGUCUUUGUAACCUGCCACGUACUCUAUAAUGAUGAGAUACUCCUUAUAUUAAACCAAAGAAAGAAAUGACUCUGCUAAAGAUGGAAUUUUAGACAUCAAAUUAGAACUGAGAGACACUCAAAGAUUCUGGACUGUCUUCUGAGCAGAGAAUAAAAAGUAGCUAUCAUCUGCCCACCACAGACAUGAAAAAACAAGAAAGACAGUUUGCAGAGAGGAGAGAAUGAAACAGGACUGUAGAGAGAAGCAGAGACAAGAAAUGGAUCUUCCCAUCUCGUCAUGAGCUUCCACUUCCAGUGCUUGGCCUUUGGACUUUUCUCUUCAUUAUGCCAUUGGCCAGCAGUGUGACCACAUGGAAGCAGCAUGGGCUCUGAAGCCAGGCUGAUGUGUGUCCAGAUCUAAGCCCUGCCGUCUACUAGCUUGGUGAUCUUGGGUAAGUUAUUUAAUCUCUGAGAGUCCCAUUUCCUCAUUUGUAAAAUGGGGAUAGUCAUACUUAAUACAUGGAAUUGGUUCAAAGGUUUAAAAAUGAGCCAAGUUGUAAAAGAUUGGUGCUUAGCAUGUUCUUUGUAACUGAUUAUCAGUAUUUUUCAGAGACAGCAUAAAUUUUGGAAUCAGAUUCAAAUCCUGGCUUAGUCACUUGAUAUGUCUCUAACUGCAAGUUACUUCUUUAAGUCUCAGCUCUAAGUGCCAUGAAGGUCAAGAUCUUGUCUGUGGUGUUCACUGUUGUCUCCUUAGCAUCUAACACAGAUCCUGACACAUGGUUGUUGAAUGAACCAAUAAAUGAAUGAAAAAUUAAGAUAAUUUCUUACCACACUAUAGUGAGAAUUCUAAAAACUGUACACUCUGUACCACUUACAGUUACAAUGCCCAGUACACAGUAGGCCACAAUAACUGAUUUUUGAUGCUCAAAACAAAUGAAUAUAAGAAAAUAGGAUAUGUAAAGUCCUUGGGCAUUCAUGCUCCCAUAUUUAUCAUGUAAUUAUAGGAGUAGGCAAUAAGAGGAUGUGGCUAAAUGGCUGGCCUGAUGACUAAUAUCGUCUAGCAUUAAAUUGUGUUCAUACCGCCAACACAACACUAUUAAAGGCAGCAAGAAUCACUUGUUUGUUUAGUAAAUAUGUAUUGAGCACAUAGGAUGUAGAUGACGCCAAAAUGGACAAAAUAUUUAUGAACAAGUACAUCUAUAUCAAGGACAGAAUGUGGAGAUGCUUGCUUUCUAGGAAUUGAGGCCUCAGAUGACUGGAGUUUCCAUAUAAAGGAGUUUCCAAAAAGAUCGUAAUGAAUAGACAGAAUACUUGGUAGCCCCUUUCUUUAAUUCGAAUACUACUUUCAUAACUGUGACAUUUCUGCUUCCACUCAUUUAGGCAGAGAGAGUAACCCCUAUGACCUUUGGUCAUCAAUGCAGAUAGUGGAGAAACAGAUUAUGGAGGUUGGGACAAGGGAGUUUCCUACUGCCCUGGAUGUUUCCCUCCCAGUAUUGCAAUAGGAUGGGAAGGAGGACUGCAUAGAUAUAAGGAAUAGGUGGUGGGAGGGUGAACUGCGGCUGUGAGUCUAAAGUUAAAUGAUCAUACCACACCUCAUCCAAAACCUGGCUUCUAGGUGAUUUCACCUAAAAUAUUCCAAACUGAUGCAUGUCAUUCAUGUUCUCCAACACAGAUAAGAGAGUAGACUCCAUAGGUAGUAGCAGAGUCCUGUUUCUCAAGAGGAGGAAAAAGUCCUGAACUGUUAUGCUGAAUUAUCAAAUUUGAAUUUUGUUACCACAUAUUUAUAUAUUGAGACCAAUCAAUCUUAAUUCAAAAUAUAUAAUAUGACAUAUAGUUAAAACAAUAGUAUAUGUCUUCGUAUAAUAAUUUCUAGCCAAAAGAGCAAGACAGAAACCUCCUAGUCUAGCCUUAAGCUUCCUUAGCUCCCUUUGUGCCCUGUAAAGCACUAAUGGUGUCAGUAGCUUUCUGGCCACAACAGGAUACACAGGAUACUGGUAGUAACAGCAAUACGCUCGAAAAAUAAUAAGCAGAAAAUGUUCUAGGAUCAAGGACACAUGAAGAAAAGAAGGUGGGAGGGAGGGGAGGAGAAGGAUGAGGCAAGAAAGAAGAAGAAAGGAGGAGCUCAAAGGAAUGGUCCUUCCACUCUCACUGGCCUUUGGGGAGCUUCUGUAUCAAUUAGCUGGGGAACACGGUGCUGACCUAGGUGAAACAUGAUGCUGGGAGAAUCUUCUACAUCAGGCCCCAGGCUGUAUGAGUACCCCAGGCCACUUCUGGCGGAGUAGCAAACUGCAGUAGGUGAUCCUUCUGGCUCCCUUUAGUCUAGUCCACCCACUUGGUCAACCCCAAAAUGAACAGAGAUAGAAAGGGGAUGAAAAGUAGUUAGGAGUGAACAUAUGUGUGGAAGAGAAGCAGAGAAUUAGCCCCAUUCCUGGACAUGGGCUCACGAAGGUUUAUUUUGGGUAGGCCAGAUGUGAAAGACUUCUCUAUUUUCUAGUGUUCCCAGGGCAACAAAAAUCAGGGCUCAUGUCAUUUGUGAUGAAAAGGAAGUUUAGACUUUUACCAGGUUCUCCUUCCUAAGUGCUUCUGAAAAUCCCCAAGGAAUGCUUACCUGUUCCACACAUCUUCCCUAGCUACUGCUUGUCCCUUCAGCUAAGAGCUAGACUGCUGCUCCAGUCUUCAGCAGGCCACCCCUGGCCAUCUCAGAACCACCUUCCAGAUUGUUGCCAGGCUUCCCUAUCUGCUGUAUUCCCGGCACUGACACAUGCCCAUCCCUGAAUCCCUGAAGUACCACAACAAUCAGGAGGCUUGGGAUAACAGAAGGGAAUUAUGAUAUAGAAAACAGCAUUUUCCUAAAAAAGAAUUGGGCUCCCAAAUCCUUCACCUGCCUCAGGUUGCAUCUUUUCUACGUUGCUGAUUACAAUUUUUUGCUUUCCUUGGCUCCUAACUCCCUCUGUGGAAUGAGAGUGGGCAGCUCCAAGUCCUUUUAUCCAAGAGAAGAAGCCCUUAGGGCUCUGCAGGUGCUGUCAACCCCACCAUACCUCUGAUUUGUAUCUGCCAACAUGGAACAGACAUGGAGAGGAUAAAGAAGUAGGAAGAAGCUGAGAAGAAGGGAGAUGAGAAAGUGCUGACUGAAACAUCAGCACUAUGCUCUAUGGCUCAGAAGUGUCUUCUAAUAGUAACAUUCUAUAUUUUAUUUAUAUAACAACUUUUCUCAUGAGUUAUGCUCUUAUAAGAAAAACUGAAGGACUAUCAAUAGAAAACUUAACCAAGCUGCAAUUUUUGUAACAUGAGGUUGCAGAGUAUAUUCUUUUUUAGGAAGAUGCUAGGCCUGCCUUAUCCCGAAAGAAAAAAGAAUAUGCCUUGUUUAUUGAAAUUGCUAAAAUAUUAAAUUGAUAUCAUGAGUCCCAUUUUAGUGUGUCUGAGUGAGAAUCUGUUGAAGCAGACGGGACAUUAUGGGAAGAAAUCUUACAAAGUAAAAUUAGAUUUUUCAUACACAGAGUAGCAGCUGUUCAGAUUGCAGGAAAAUCCUUAGAAGCCAUUUAUCAGGUGGCAAUGUGGUGAACAACAAAGACAACUCUUCUUUCAGAUGUGAGAAUGGUCCAGCACACCUCUGUGACUGCAGAUGACAGCAUGCUGUGUUCCAAAUAUUGGAACUAUUGAAUAACUGAUGUUCAAAGAUUUAUACAUCUGAAUGAACAUUCUAGAGUGCAAAUUGCCUUUGACUUAACGUGACCAAAAACAGAAUUCUAAAGUGUAAUCACAUGCUGGAUGUGCCCAACGACUAUGAUACAGAGUGAUGUGUGCAUAGGCCAGUGGUUUCUUUAGGUACAAGACAUGCCAAACACAACUGAAUAGCCAGGUUUGAGAUUAGGCAAGUGUUUUAAAGUAGAAAAAGCCACAAUUGGGAUAAAAACAAAGCAAGAAUAUGGGAGACAAACAAGAAAGUACAACGGAGUAAUUGCAACUAAGGCAACUCAAUUGGUAGAUAGGUCUAAGAACCAAAGAGUUCAAACAUUUGUAAAUUAUUUUCCUGCUUUUGGACAGACAGGUCAAAGUUACUUUUCUGAACUAGAAAGAUUUGUAGGGAGAUGAAUUUUAGAGGCAGUAAAGGGCCACCCCAAAGUAAAACUGUCAAGUUAAUAAAGUCUGUUGUCAUGAUGACAAUAGCUUUUGAGAAGAGGAUUGACAUGAUGUCAACGUUUUGUUUUGAGGAAGAUUAAUCUACUGGUAAUAAGAAAGAUGACUUGAAAGGGGACGGGCAGGGUGGAUUCAGGUUUUGUGUGUCUGAAGCUAAUACCAGCUUUAAAAGGGUAGGGGCUCUGUUUAAGAAAAAGAAUACAGAUUCAAGUAUACAAAAUUUGCUAGGGCCCUUCCCAGAGCCUUUGAAUGGCUUCAUGCAAGGAAAGGAGUCUGAAGGUUAAGCUUCCUUACCUUCGAUAAGCCACCUCAUAAGCAGAUGAUAGCUAAGCCACUAACAGUGUCACCCUCAUCUUGCCAGCCACCCAAGUGAGACCCCCAGGAGUCAUCUUUUAUCCUUCAUCCUAUUUCCUCUUCAGUCACCAAGCCAUGCCCAUUUAAUUUCCUAAGUAUUUCUCAAGUUCAUUUAUUUCUUCAUUCUUCAUUCCAGUACCUUAGAUCUACCUGUCACUGCCUCUUAACUACUCCAUUGCAAAUAGCUUUUCCAAACUCGUUCCCUGUUUCCACCCUGUUUACCUCCUAGAAACCUAUCCUUCACCCAGCCGCUCAGAAUACUCUAUCUAUGGGUAGAUCUGAUAAUCUCACACUUCUGGUUAAUACUCUUCAUUAAAGCUUCAUCAGGAGAAGGCCCAAGCCUCCAUAGUAUUAUAAGCAAAGCCUGUGUGAUCUCACCCCUUUGUCAGCUCAGCUCUUGACACCCUUGCUUUGCACUUCUCACAUGUCAGCACAAUACUGCAUUUCUGGCAAAUGCCUUGAAAGUUUUUACAUCUGGGUUUUUGGUUCCUGACUGACCUCUUGGCUGAGAAUUAUCUCCCUUUUCCCUCAUCCCUCCUCCUUCUAAACUCUCUUUACCAGGCUCACCUUUUCCUGGGGGUCUUCAUAGAGACCCACCCCUCUGCCCCCAUCAAGCUGGUGAGGUGCCCUCCUCUGUAAUGACACAUACAGUGCUCCAUCAAGGCACUCAGCACCCUGUGUUAAAAGGACCUGUUUAUAGCUGCCUUUCCCUCUCCUCUCCAGACUGUGAUCUCCUUGGGAAUAGGAGCCACAUCUGAUGCAUUUUUUUAUCCGCAGCACUUCACAGAAUGUAGGUCUCACUAGAUAUUUUUGAAUGAGUGAACAAAUUAAUGAUGAAAUCAAGCACUACAUGAGUUAUUCUCUGUGAUAGAGCAUAGAAAGAUAAGAGAUAGUUCUGGGGUAUGUCUAAGCUUGUGAGUAGGAGAAAGAAAAGAAAGCAAUUAAACACAGAAGACAGAAUAAUCAGUAAAAGGGAUCAAUAGCUAUCGUUUAUGUUGUUUUUCUACUUAUCAUCAAGUUACGUUUCUACAAUGAAUUCAUAUUCCUUUUUAAAAAUGAAAGAAAGGAGUUUAUUAGGGUAAUUGCUAAGCUACUGAGACAAAAAGACCACAAAAUAGAAUGAUGAAAAUGUAGUGUAAAUGUAAUUCUCUCACAUGUAAAAAUCCAGUGGUGAUCAGUUUAGGGCUGGCAGAGGAGCACUGCUGUCCUCAACAUGCUAGCCCUGCCACCUUAACAGCAAUUGCUUCCACUAUGGUUUGAACUUUCCCCCAAAGUUCAUGUGUUGGAAACUUAAUCCCCAAUGCAACAGGAUUGUGGGGUGAGGCCUAAUUGGAGGUGUUUAGGUCAUGAGGGCUCUGCCCUAAUAAAUUGAUUAAUGUCAUUAUCUUGAGAGUCGGUUUGUUAUGACAGUGAAUUCAACCCCCUCUUGCCCACCCUUGUGAUGCCUUCUGUCAUGUUUUGAUUGUAAACCAAAAGUAUCUGAGACAGCUCUUGGUCAAUUUAGAAAGCUUAUUUUGCCAA
Molecule: long non-coding RNA, 6368 nt
Filed under: Homo sapiens (human)
Lineage: Eukaryota; Metazoa; Chordata; Mammalia; Primates; Hominidae
Description: HSALNT0342718
Source: RNAcentral